GACGAACGCUGGCGGCGUGCUUAACACAUGCAAGUCGAACGGAAAGGCCCUGCUUUUGUGGGGUGCUCGAGUGGCGAACGGGUGAGUAACACGUGAGUAACCUGCCCUUGACUUUGGGAUAACUUCAGGAAACUGGGGCUAAUACCGGAUAGGAGCUCCUGCUGCACGGUGGGGGUUGGAAAGUUUCGGCGGUUGGGGAUGGACUCGCGGCUUAUCAGCUUGUUGGUGGGGUAGUGGCUUACCAAGGCUUUGACGGGUAGCCGGCCUGAGAGGGUGACCGGCCACAUUGGGACCGAGAUACGGCCCAGACUCCUACGGGAGGCAGCAGUGGGGAAUAUUGCACAAUGGGCGGAAGCCUGAUGCAGCAACGCCGCGUGCGGGAUGACGGCCUUCGGGUUGUAAACCGCUUUCGCCUGUGACGAAGCGUGAGUGACGGUAAUGGGUAAAGAAGCACCGGCUAACUACGUG
Molecule: ribosomal RNA, 468 nt
Filed under: uncultured bacterium
Lineage: Bacteria
Description: partial 16S ribosomal RNA
Rfam family: Bacterial small subunit ribosomal RNA
Source: RNAcentral